RNAcentral lists this ribosomal RNA (434 nucleotides) under uncultured bacterium. Its description in RNAcentral is "partial 16S ribosomal RNA". It matches the Rfam family "Bacterial small subunit ribosomal RNA", at positions 29 to 507 of the family's 1533-position model. The record is from RNAcentral.
AGCGAACGCUGGCGGCAGGCCUAACACAUGCAAGUCGAACGAACCUUUCGGGGUUAGUGGCGGACGGGUGAGUAACACGUGGGAACGUGCCUUUAGGUUCGGAAUAACUCAGGGAAACUUGUGCUAAUACCGAAUGUGCCCUUCGGGGGAAAGAUUUAUCGCCUUUAGAGCGUCCCGCGUGUGAUUAGCUAGUUGGUUGAGGUAAUGGCUCACCAAGGGGACGAUCAGUAGCUGGUCUGAGAGGAUGAUCAGCCACAUUGGGACUGAGACACGGCCCAAACUCCUACGGGAGGCAGCAGUGGGGAAUCUUGCGCAAUGGGCGAAAGCCUGACGCAGCCAUGCCGCGUGAAUGAUGAAGGUCUUAGGAUUGUAAAAUUCUUUCACCGGGGACGAUAAUGACGGUACCCGGAGAAGAAGCCCCGGCUAACUUCGUG